UACGUAGGUGGCAAGCGUUGUCCGGAUUUACUGGGCGUAAAGCGCCCGCAGGCGGCUUGGCAAGUCUGAGGUGAAAUCUCCCGGCUCAACUGGGAGGGUGCCCCGGAAACUGCCAGGCUCGAGGCAGGGAGAGGGAUGUGGAAUUCCCGGUGUAGUGGUGAAAUGCGUAGAUAUCGGGAGGAACACCAGUGGCGAAGGCGGCAUCCUGGCCCUGUCCUGACGCUCAGGGGCGAAAGCGUGGGGAGCAAACCGG
RNAcentral lists this ribosomal RNA (253 nucleotides) under uncultured bacterium. RNAcentral describes it as "partial 16S ribosomal RNA". It matches the Rfam family "Bacterial small subunit ribosomal RNA", at positions 524 to 776 of the family's 1533-position model. The record is from RNAcentral.